GUGCGUGUGAUGAGCCAACACUUUUCCCUCGAACCAAUCGUGUGAGGAAAAUGAGCUUUUUAACUCUGAUGCGUA
Non-coding RNA from Pristionchus pacificus, 75 nucleotides. The record is from Rfam. NCBI's taxonomy places the organism in Eukaryota, Metazoa, Nematoda, Chromadorea, Rhabditida, Neodiplogasteridae.